This 460-nucleotide ribosomal RNA is filed under the name uncultured bacterium. RNAcentral's name for it is "partial 16S ribosomal RNA". It matches the Rfam family "Bacterial small subunit ribosomal RNA", at positions 338 to 795 of the family's 1533-position model. The record is from RNAcentral.
CCUACGGGAGGCAGCAGUGAGGAAUAUUGGCCAAUGGACGAGAGUCUGAACCAGCCAAGUAGCGUGAAGGAUGACUGCCCUAUGGGUUGUAAACUUCUUUUAUAUGGGAAUAAAAUGUUCCACGUGUGGGAUUUUGUAUGUACCAUAUGAAUAAGGAUCGGCUAACUCCGUGCCAGCAGCCGCGGUAAUACGGAGGAUCCGAGCGUUAUCCGGAUUUAUUGGGUUUAAAGGGAGCGUAGGUGGAUUGUUAAGUCAGUUGUGAAAGUUUGCGGCUCAACCGUAAAAUUGCAGUUGAAACUGGCAGUCUUGAGUACAGUAGAGGUGGGCGGAAUUCGUGGUGUAGCGGUGAAAUGCUUAGAUAUCACGAAGAACUCCGAUUGCGAAGGCAGUUCACUGGACUGCAACUGACACUGAGGCUCGAAAGUGUGGGUAUCAAACAGGAUUAGAUACCCGUGUAGUC